UAGCCAAAUAAAUUUCUUCCUAACUAGAAGGCCAAUAGAUUGUUAUGUAAGGUUAUAACAGGGAGAGCCUAACCACACAACAUUGGUUAGUCGUCAUGGAUAUGUGCCUCAUUAUGUAGAAUCGUAAGAAAGAUGAGUUUAUUUGCCCUAGGAUAAGGUGGUGGAGCUUAAAAGGAGAUACCUUGAAAUCAUUUACUGACAAAGUGGUCAAACAAGGAAAGUGGGAUUUUGAGGGAGACAUUAAUACGAUGUGGAACGAGAUGACUAUUUGUAUUAAGAAGGUUACUAAAGAUGUCCUGGGAGUAUCGAAAGGAAAAUGUCAUUCCUCUAGGGAUUAGGGAGACUUGGUGGUAGGAUGAGGAGGUUCAAGCAGCCAUUAAGACUAAGAAAGCUAAUCUUAAGAGAUGGCAAAGGACUAAUGAUGUAAAGGAGGAUCUAAAAAGAUUAUGGGAAAAGCAAAGGCGAAGAAAUAUAAAGUUCUUUAUAACAAUAUGAGCACAAAGGAAG
Telopea speciosissima is the source of this 507-nucleotide long non-coding RNA. RefSeq lists it as uncharacterized. The record is from RefSeq and is a predicted model, not a curated record. The transcript is spliced from 2 exons. NCBI's taxonomy places the organism in Eukaryota, Viridiplantae, Streptophyta, Magnoliopsida, Proteales, Proteaceae.